This 253-nucleotide ribosomal RNA is filed under the name uncultured bacterium. Its description in RNAcentral is "partial 16S ribosomal RNA". It matches the Rfam family "Bacterial small subunit ribosomal RNA", at positions 524 to 776 of the family's 1533-position model. The record is from RNAcentral.
UACGUAGGGUGCAAGCGUUAAUCGGAAUUACUGGGCGUAAAGCGUACGCAGGCGGCUUUGCAAGACAGGUGUGAAAUCCCCGGGCCUAACCUGGGAACUGCAUUUGAGACUGCAUAGCUAGAGUUUGUCAGAGGGGAGUGGAAUUCCACGUGUAGCAGUGAAAUGCGUAGAUAUGUGGAGGAACACCGAUGGCGAAGGCAGCUCCCUGGGCAGUGACUGACGCUGAUGUACGAAAGCGUGGGGAGCGAACAGG